Molecule: long non-coding RNA, 2182 nt
Filed under: Salmo salar (Atlantic salmon)
Lineage: Eukaryota; Metazoa; Chordata; Actinopteri; Salmoniformes; Salmonidae
Description: lncRNA (ENSSSAG00000085798.1)
Source: RNAcentral
UCUUGUGUAAAACUCUUUAUUGAAAAAAACGGUGACCAAAAGCUGCUACUUGAUUGUCAUAAGUGCUUUCAUAAUCUCGGCAUCCAGAGCCAAAUCUAUGCGCUGUCACAAAAGGCUUCCAUUACUCAUAGUUUAUUUAAAUUCAUUGGCAAGAUACAGCACGAUUAGGCAAUAGCGGUAUAGUGUAUUGAGCACCACACUCACCUAAUCAAACUGAAUUCAACUAGUGGCAACACUGUCAUGGGUUGUAGCUCCUCCCACUUGCAGGCUGAGGAGUCAUGUGUCUAGAUUCUAGACCAGAGUUCCGCUACUGGCAGCCCACAGGUGGUUUUAUUUGGCCCCCCAAGUCUUCUGAGCAACAUUUUCAUUGUUGGACAUAAAAAAUUGUAAAAACACCAGGAAAUCAGCUCCAAGUGAUUUUAAUUUGGGAAAUCUGUCCCAAAGUAUUUCCACGCAUAAUAGAGAGACACGUGAUCAUAUAGAAAUGUAAGCAAGGUUUGAAAUUAUACUUUUUUUUGUAAAAUAUUAUGUAUAUUUGGGCUUCUUGCGGUCAAUUUACAGUCUACAAAUUAUUUGUAAUUAUGUUCUGGCCCCCCGACCAUCCACUCAAGAAACAAUCGGCCCGCGGCUGAAUCUAGUUGAUGAUCCCUGCUCUAGGCCAUAAUAUUGACUUGCACAUGUUCAGAAGACAUGUCUGGGAAUGUGUCUAUCUUACAGAGAGAGAGAGAAAGACUCCUACAAAGAUAGUUGGACAGAGCCCACCCUCAUGUGCAAAACACGUCAAAGGAACUAAAGACUUGUUUGCAUGUCUGUCCUUGUUAUCUGUGUGACUGAGCAAAAGUGAGUAAAUAUUGAUAGCUGCAUCAUCUUCCUACAACCAACCUCCUGAUCUGAGGAAAACUUGAUCAUACACACACUAAAUUGAGGACAGAUACAGUAUGUACAGGUUCAGGACUAUUUACAUAUUUCCCAAAAAUCUCCUCCACCAAUGCCCACCGAAAAUCUACCCCUCUCCUAGCAUUUAGUUCUCCCUUCCCUAACAAUCCCAUAAUUAGCAGAGUAGCGGUUUCCUCCUUACCAAGGUACAUAUCCCAUCAAAGUAACACAAAAAUCCUCAUCCCUGUUAUGCCGCCUGUAGACCCAUUAGAAUAGUCAGUAACAACAAUAAACAUGGGCAGUAAUGACAAAUGUUUCAAAAUAAUGCCACAUUAUAAAAUUGGGAGGUGCAAGUGUGUGAUUAUAUUAGGUGGGUUUGUGAUGGAAAAUAAAAUGAAUCAACGCUAGCAUAAGGGGAUGGCCUUCACCAGCAUACUGUUGACAAGCAGUUGAGAGCAUGAAAGUAAAUCUAUUACAGAGUAAAAUUAAUAUUCAAAAAGUGUAUUAAUCUAAAUGGAAUUACAUGGACCCUGACAGCUAUAGAACAAUAUCACAAGACUUAAAUGGGGAUGACAAUGUUUUCUGUUAUGCAGUUAAGCCAAUUUGGUUGAAUGCAAUAGUAUCAUGCUGCAGUUAUAGACACAGAAAGGACCACCGCCUGUCACCUGAAGUAACAUAUUUCUACUGUUUUAUAUCUGCAAAGUCCCCACAUUCAUCAGGCAAAAGCAAAUACACAAUGACAAUAACAUUGCACAUCUAUGCAUAUUGUUCCUUUUUCAUUACAAAGAGUAGAAAAUAACACCACAAAAAUAUAUCUUGUUUGAACAUACAGUACCAGUCAAAAGUUUGGACACACCUACUCAUUCCAGGGUUUUUCUUUAUUUUUACUAUUUUCUACAUUGUAGAAUAAUAGUGAAGACAUCAAAUCUAUGAAAUAACGCAUAUGGAAUCAUGUCGUAACCAAAAAAGUGUUAAACAAAUCAAAAUAUAUUGUAUAUUUGAGAUUCUUCAAAGUAGCCAGCCUUUGCCAUGAUGACAGCUUUGCACAUUCUUGACAUUCUCUCAACCAGCUUCAUGAGGUAGUCACCUGGAAUGCAUUUCAAUGAACAGGUGUGACUUGUUAAAAGUUCAUUUGUGGAAUUUCUUUCCUUAACCUGUCUGGGCUAGGGGGCAGUAUUUUCACGGCCGGAUGAAAAACGUACCCAAUUUGAUCAGGUUUCUACUCUGGCCCAGAAACUAGAAUAUGCAUAUCAUUAGUAGAUUUGGAUAGAAAACACUCUGAAGUUUCUAAAACUGUUUGAAUGGU